This 428-nucleotide ribosomal RNA is filed under the name Acetobacteraceae bacterium 'ARUP UnID 568'. Its description in RNAcentral is "bacterial SSU rRNA". It matches the Rfam family "Bacterial small subunit ribosomal RNA", at positions 30 to 504 of the family's 1533-position model. The record is from RNAcentral. Lineage: Bacteria; Pseudomonadati; Pseudomonadota; Alphaproteobacteria; Acetobacterales; Acetobacteraceae.
CGAACGCUGGCGGAAUGCUUAACACAUGCAAGUCGCACGGGCAGCAAUGUCAGUGGCGGACGGGUGAGUAACGCGUAGGAAUAUGUCCGGAGGUGGGGGACAACCCUGGGAAACUGGGGCUAAUACCGCAUAUGUCCUGAGGGACAAAGCCGUGAGGCGCCUUUGGAGUAGCCUGCGUCCGAUUAGCUAGUUGGUGGGGUAAAGGCCUACCAAGGCGACGAUCGGUAGCUGGUCUGAGAGGACGAUCAGCCACACUGGGACUGAGACACGGCCCAGACUCCUACGGGAGGCAGCAGUGGGGAAUAUUGGACAAUGGGCGCAAGCCUGAUCCAGCAAUUCCGCGUGGGUGAAGAAGGUCUUCGGAUUGUAAAGCCCUUUCGACAGGGACGAUGAUGACGGUACCURUAGAAGAAGCCCCGGCUAACUUC